Megalobrama amblycephala (Wuchang bream) is the source of this 845-nucleotide long non-coding RNA. RefSeq lists it as uncharacterized. Lineage: Eukaryota; Metazoa; Chordata; Actinopteri; Cypriniformes; Xenocyprididae. The record is from RefSeq and is a predicted model, not a curated record. The transcript is spliced from 4 exons.
GGCGAGGCUACAUAAGGUCUAUAAUGUCGGGGGCGGGACGCUUCAGAUUCUGGAGAGCAUUUGAUUGGACAGAAAAUCUUAUGAGAAGCUGAAGUGCAGCGUGAUGUCAUCAAAAUCAUUUAUCCAAAUUGGCGGAAGUGAGAGACUAAUGCCGCGUUCCAUAACCCGUGUUUUUCCAACCUUCUACCCGUGUUAGUACACUGGAACAGAAGUCAAAGCCGUGACUUCCCACCCGUGAACUCAUACUAGAUCUAGGUACUCCCAGUCACGGGUUCUGACGUCACAUAGCCCGCGAAACAACAAUGGCAGCCCCUACGGAUGCGAGGUUUAAGCAAGUGCACGGUAAAAUAAAAGGGCAGCUAAGAGCCAAGGACACCUUGCCAUAGCAAAAAAACAAAUGGAGAGACAACUGUCCCUGAGGUCAGAACAGGUGCAGCGGGACCGGUCAGAGUCCGCCGGGACAGCUGUUCUAUUCCUGUCCGGAACAGAGCCGGCUGACUGCGGAUCCACUGAGAGUAAUGACAGAUGGACAGAUUUAUUCACUCCGAUGAGCAAUUUCCACACACACAGACUCAUGGAAAAACACAGCGAAUCAUGCAGCUGCAACACCCCGCGCCAAUUAACAUGACUGCGACCUCACACAUCCGGGUCAGUGCAUCCGACCAGGGGAACAAAGGCAGAGCUGGUCCCAGAAUGCGAGGUCCCAAUUACCCUUGAGUGAGAUCCACAGAGCAUAAUGCUGCAGGCGCAUUUACUACACUGCGGAGAUGGCGAGGGAGCAUCGUCAACAUCUUUGCAGCCGAUACUCAGAAAACACUUGUUUAUUAAUAAAUAAUUAAAAUGUC